This 429-nucleotide ribosomal RNA is filed under the name Actinomycetes bacterium. RNAcentral's name for it is "Actinobacteria bacterium partial 16S ribosomal RNA". It matches the Rfam family "Bacterial small subunit ribosomal RNA", at positions 355 to 776 of the family's 1533-position model. Lineage: Bacteria; Bacillati; Actinomycetota; Actinomycetes. The record is from RNAcentral.
UAGGGAAUCUUCCGCAAUGGGCGAAAGCCUGACGGAGCAACGCCGCGUGAGUGAUGAAGGUCUUCGGAUCGUAAAACUGUGUUAUUAGGGAAGAACAAAUGUGUAAGUAACUAUGCACGUCUUGACGGUACCUAAUCAGAAAGCCACGGCUAACUACGUGCCAGCAGCCGCGGUAAUACGUAGGUGGCAAGCGUUAUCCGGAAUUAUUGGGCGUAAAGCGCGCGUAGGCGGUUUUUUAAGUGUGAUGUGAAAGCCCACGGCUCAACCGUGGAGGGUCAUUGGAAACUGGAAAACUUGAGUGCAGAAGAGGAAAGUGGAAUUCCAUGUGUAGCGGUGAAAUGCGCAGAGAUAUGGAAGAACACCAGUGGCGAAGGCGACUUUCUGGUCUGUAACUGACGCUGAUGUGCGAAAGCGUGGGGAUCAAACAGG